UACGUAGGCGGAAAAUUAAGUCUGUAGUGAAAUCCUGCAGCUUAACUGUAGAACUGUUAUUGAUACUGGUUUUCUUGAAUAUAGUUGAGGUAAGCGGAAUGUGUAAUGUAGCGGUGAAAUGCUUAGAUAUUACACAGAACACCGAUUGCGAAGGCAGCUUACUAAGCUAUGAUUGACGCUGAGGUACGAAAGCGUGGGGAGCGAACAGGGUUAGAUACCCUGGUAGUCC
RNAcentral lists this ribosomal RNA (229 nucleotides) under uncultured bacterium. RNAcentral's name for it is "partial 16S ribosomal RNA". It matches the Rfam family "Bacterial small subunit ribosomal RNA", at positions 568 to 796 of the family's 1533-position model. The record is from RNAcentral.